RNAcentral lists this ribosomal RNA (253 nucleotides) under uncultured bacterium. Its description in RNAcentral is "partial 16S ribosomal RNA". It matches the Rfam family "Bacterial small subunit ribosomal RNA", at positions 524 to 776 of the family's 1533-position model. The record is from RNAcentral.
UACGUAGGGGGCAAGCGUUGUCCGGAAUCAUUGGGCGUAAAGAGCGUGUAGGCGGCCCGAUAAGUCCGCUGUGAAAGUCCAGGGCUCAACCCUGGAAUGCCGGUGGAUACUGUCGGGCUCGAAUCCGGAAGAGGUGAGUGGAAUUCCUGGUGUAGCGGUGAAAUGCGCAGAUAUCAGGAGGAACACCAAUGGCGAAGGCAGCUCACUGGGACGGUAUUGACGCUGAGACGCGAAGGCGUGGGGAGCGAACAGG